Molecule: long non-coding RNA, 1069 nt
Organism: Ananas comosus (pineapple)
Lineage: Eukaryota; Viridiplantae; Streptophyta; Magnoliopsida; Poales; Bromeliaceae
Exons: 7
Source: RefSeq, a predicted model, not a curated record
UGCGUGGCAGCAAGCCCUUUUUGGUCUUUUUACUCAUCAAGCUUAUCCCUUUUAACCCCAGCUCGACCCCUGCAACUUGGAUAAGCAUCCUUGAGCUCAGCAAAGUGGGUUUGAAGGGACUGUUUUGGAGUUGCUGUGGGUAAAAGAAUGAGGAGUAUUAAGGGGUAUUUCGUGACCUUGCACACUCUUAUAGCUGGUUGAGGUUUUGGAAAGCUGAAUUGGGAGAAGCCACAAGACAGCUAGAGAAGGGUUUAACUCCUGAAAUUUUCUACUAUAAUUUCCUAGAAAGCUGAAUUGAACUUGGAGAAUCUGUAUGUUAUCCAUUUAGAGCUGAUUUGAAGAAUGGUUAUGAGCCGAAUUAAGAUGUGUAACCGGAGUCGAGGUGGAGGAUUAACACUGCGCUGAACCUAGAUUUAUAACAGGGUAAUGGAUAACUUUCGGCUAUAUAUUGAGAGCCUUCGGAGAUGGAAUUGAGCGUGCUAACCUGAACCAAAACAAGGGUGUAAGCUGUGACCGGGUAUAAGGGAAAAUGUUGCUGAAAAUGAAUGUUUUGAUAUAAAUUUCGAUGCAGUUUUAUAAGUAAAUCGCAGCAGGGUUAAGACCUGGUUGAGCUGAAUUCGGGACUCAUUUGAGCAGGUUUGAGCUGAGUUUUGGGGAGCUUCUACAUACAUUGGAGAGUGGAUUUAAUCUCCCUUUUAACUUAGGAACCUGGAUGCUUGAAUUGCUCACCGUGUGAGAUUGACAAGAGGCAUCGUUUAGUAGAGCCAUCAACAGGAGAGGCUAGGGAUCGUGGCAAGGGAGUCGCGUCUAACUAGAUAUAGCUUGGAGCUUGACUAGAUGAUCACCUUGCUACUCGGGCUACGGCCAAGGGUGAUGUCCCCGUAUAUAGAAAGACUACCAUUGUACAUAUAUUUUGUGUACCCUGUGAUGUAUAUGUGAUUUGAAUCAGAGAUUACAGUUUUGGUGUUUUCCUGUGGAAUUGAGAAUCUGAGCUGUUUAUACUUACUGUUUUCUGAUGGUUGUAUUAUCGACUUAUACUUUGCUUUGAUAUCAGGUUAGAAUUCUUCUA